RNAcentral lists this long non-coding RNA (615 nucleotides) under Homo sapiens (human). RNAcentral describes it as "HSALNT0189102". Lineage: Eukaryota; Metazoa; Chordata; Mammalia; Primates; Hominidae. The record is from RNAcentral.
AAUGCUGAUGGCAUUCAGUCAUCUGGUCAGAACCUGCCAGAACCCUCCAUCCCAGCAUACAGUCUCAACGUGAAUGCAUCUGCAGAGAGCUCUGGGUUGCUCCAAACCAUCUUCCUUCAAGGCCACUGGUUGAAUGUGAAGUGUGGGCAGGAUGAUGCCAAUUGGACCCAUCCAGGAUCCCUACCUCAUUUCAGGCCAGAAGAAAUUAACAUACAGCAUAAAAGAAUAAGAUCAGACUUCAGGAAGAACCACCAGACGGGGCUGGAAAACACAGACAAGAUCACGGAGUUCCUUUGGGAAAGGUUGCCCCACGCCUUGAACCUCCCUCAGUUUCCCUCUCAGUCUCUUCAGCUCCUGGCCAGCUCUCUUCUCCUCUCGCCUUGGAGGGUCUCCCACCACCUUGCAGAACAUCAGCACCCACCAAAUUCCCUUGCCUCUGCCCAAGGUCUCCACCCAGCCUACGUGGGCAAAAUUUCAAAUUCCAAAAUAAAAACUCUCUGAUAACGAGUCCCAGCCGGAAAGACUGAUGCACUUUCCUAUUGUUAAAGUAUUUUUAGUCACAGGCUCUGGAUUCGUUUAGAGACUCACGUUCAGAAAGGGGAAAAUUUUUUUUUG